CAGUCGAGGGGUAUUGGUUUUCGGACCAGAGACCGGCGCACGGGUGCGUAACGCGUAUGCAAUCUACCUUUCACAGAGGGAUAGCCCAGAGAAAUUUGGAUUAAUACCUCAUAGUAUGCAGAGUUGGCAUCAACCCUGCAUUAAAGUCACAACGGUGAAAGAUGAGCAUGCGUCCCAUUAGCUAGUUGGUAAGGUAACGGCUUACCAAGGCAACGAUGGGUAGGGGUCCUGAGAGGGAGAUCCCCCACACUGGUACUGAGACACGGACCAGACUCCUACGGGAGGCAGCAGUGAGGAAUAUUGGACAAUGGGCGCAAGCCUGAUCCAGCCAUGCCGCGUGCAGGAUGACGGUCCUAUGGAUUGUAAACUGCUUUUGUACGAGAAGAAACACUCCUUCGUGAAGGAGCUUGACGGUAUCGUAAGAAUAAGGAUCGGCUAACUCCGUGCCAGCAGCCGCGGUAAUACGGAGGAUCCAAGCGUUAUCCGGAAUCAUUGGGUUUAAAGGGUCCGUAGGCGGUUUAGUAAGUCAGUGGUGAAAGCCCAUCGCUCAACGGUGGAACGGCCAUUGAUACUGCUAGACUUGAAUUAUUAGGAAGUAACUAGAAUAUGUAGUGUAGCGGUGAAAUGCUUAGAGAUUACAUGGAAUACCAAUUGCGAAGGCAGGUUACUACUAAUGGAUUGACGCUGAUGGACGAAAGCGUGGGUAGCGAACAGGAUUAGAUACCCUGGUAGUCCACGCCCGUAACGAUGGAUACUAGCUGUUGGGAGCGAUCUCAGUGGCUAA
RNAcentral lists this ribosomal RNA (784 nucleotides) under uncultured Bacteroidota bacterium. RNAcentral describes it as "bacterial SSU rRNA". It matches the Rfam family "Bacterial small subunit ribosomal RNA", at positions 59 to 850 of the family's 1533-position model. The record is from RNAcentral. Lineage: Bacteria; Pseudomonadati; Bacteroidota.